GUGAUCAGCAGAGCGCCUGCACCAAUCAGGGAUCGUCGCCCCGCCUGCCAUUGGCCCAGGAGGAUCUUUCGAAGGCCAGCGGGCUGGAGCGGUGGGUCCCCGGCUCCCCCGCCCUCCCGCGUGGAGUCCAGCCCUGCGGCGAGGCCCGCUACGUGUCCGACCUCCUCCCUCCCCCAGAUGCAGCCCUAGGGCCCGGAGGAGAUCCCAGAGGGGCAGACCUGGGGCGGCGACUGGGCUCGGCCGAGCUCAGGGGCGCGUGCGCGCACGCCAGGCGCUUCGGGGGUUUGCACCUGAUGCCGGCACAAAGAGGGUUCAGCCGCCGCCCACGCCAGCAGGCUCUUAAGCUGGCGAGCAGGCCAGGACACCGAGUUGGUGAGGUCCACUCCAGGACUGGCUUGGCUAGGUAACGCCCUUCCCUGGCCCGCUGGAAUCGAGACUCCGGUAUCUCACAUUGUCUGAGCGAUCCACAUUGUGUGGCACCUCCCCGGCAGCCUCUCUAGGGAAAGGAGCCGGUCUGGAUCUGUUUGCAGGCUUUGAACCUUUUAAUCAGACAGUCUUGGGAGGAGAAAUUGGGGAAUCUCUGUUCUGUUCCUUGUGCUAGGAGCCAAUGCCAGGAAGGAGGUGAAAUUCCAAGUCGCGGCGCUUUCCCAGGAUUCAAGCUCACAGCCUUGUUGGGAAACACGGAAACAAUACAGGACCAUAUAUAAUUGAUGUGAAGUGGUGGUGUUCAGGGGAAGUCUAAGCCUGCAGUCCUGCAGGUCCCCAGAUGCUGUUUAACAUCAGUGCCCUAACAGGGCUGGCCCAGAUUCCUGGGGAAGUGGGCCUGGCUGGAUGAGGAAACCAGUAGAAAAUAAGGAUGAACAGAGGGAGGUGCAGAAGAUUUGGGAGUCAGCAAGUGGCCCAGUCACUCCCGGAGACCACAGAGAGUUCAUACUGCCUAGCUCCUAAUGACUUUAGUGAAAGGAACCAACCUGAUGCAGGGGUGACUUGGGCAGACAUGGGGAGGGGGGACCAGGCAGGAUCCCUUCCAUGUCACUCCAAUAGUCCCAGACCUAUAGGACCUCCAUGGCCUCAUCAUUCCAUACUGGUAUCAGUCCUGAGCCCUGUCAUUCACUCCACAAACCCCAGACCUGAAGAGGGCGAGACCUCUGCCUUAGAGCUUCCCCACAAGAUAAGAGAGAAUGAAGCAAGUCAUCCAGGGGGUACAGUGACUUUUAGGCCUGUUAAAGUUUUAUUGAAAUGGAACCAAGAAGAGGAUUUUUUCAAAAGAGUAUUAGCACAAUACAGAGAUCACUUCAAUGAAAAAGUUUUAAAGGGCUGUGGAGCUCAGGAGAGGGAACGAUAUCUGAAAGGAAGACCCGGGGAGGUCUCCCAGGUGAGCCUUGGAAAGUUGGGGAAAGCUGGGGUUCCUAGGAGCAGGUGCCAGCUGGGCACGAGACAGAGUGCGGGGGGAAAAAGGCAGGAACGAAUGAAUGAACAGGACGGCUGCAGCAAGGCCAGCUCCCGGCAGGUUUCAGGUUGGGGGAGCCUCUUGGGCCUCCAUAAGGACAGGAUGAAGGACUUCGUGGUGGAGCCAGUGCAGAGCUUUGAAAAUUCACCCAGCACGAGUGUGCCCCGAUCGGAUCUGUGAUGUGGAAAGAGACCCUCUGAGGCAGGUUGGGGCUGGGAUGAGAAGUGGGGAGAAGCCAGGGAUGCAGCAAAUUUAGCUUAGGAUUGAGGAAGGGAGGCCUGGACUAAGGGGACUUCAUGAGACCAAUCUCCCACUAGAAGCACCUGGCACCCUCUGCCCUCUUCCUGUUCCUCUCUUAUUGAAUACUCUGCCUGCUUGGAUGAGCUGGUGAGAGUGUUUGCUCAGCCAACCCACCCAGAGUCACUUAGGAAAAGGGGUGAUCUCAGAGAGGGAGGAAUUCCUGUGGCUUCCUCCUGUCCCACAGAAUCGGCCCUCUGCUCCCCCAGGAGCACCAAAGACUGCAGCCUCCCAGGGGUGCUGCCAGGAUGUCAUCAUGAUCUUUCAUCUUUAUCAGUGACAAAGGUACCAGCUUGCAGGCAUGGAGCCCAGGUCCCCUCAGCCAGCCAAGAGGGUGAACAGAUCAGGCAGAGUGCGUAGCAGGGGAGAGAGGGCCUCCAGGAAUGGAGCCCACACCCACAAUCCCCGCUAAAUGGGGGGAUUGCCCUCACAAGGAGGCACUGAUGGGAGCCUGUUAGGGUCAUGAAAGAGAGAGUGAAAAUGAAUGACCCUCCAGCCAUCUUGCAGCUGCGGCUCAUCCAGAGGGAACACUGGAGACAAAGGGCACCUUGGAGGCAAACCAUCAGCAGAACAUUCAUUCUGGCCUCUUCUGUCUCUUCCUUUCUUUGGGUGAUAAAUAUGGCCACAUUGCUUCCAACCUUUAAGAUAUCUUCCUGUUGCAUCUUUCCAAAGCCCUCAAGGUCCACCCACUAUCACAUUUCAUGAAUGCGGACUCUGUGCUCUCUGGGUUUACCUUCUGUCUUCCAUUCAUUUCUCAGUUCAUUACAAUUUCUCCUAUUUUUUUUUUUUCCAGUGCUGGAGAUGGAUCCCAGGGCCUUGCACGUGUUAGGCAAGUCCUCUACCACUGAGCCACACCCCGGCCCCACUCUACUCCAGUUCUCCUAGUGUGUCAGUCAGCUUUCUGUUAUGAUAACAAACACCUGAGACGAUCAACUUAUUUUUUAAAUAGGUUUAUUUUUGCUCACCGUUUCAGAGGCUUCAACUCUCUGGGCCUGUGAUGGCACAUCAUGUGGAAACGUGUGGCAGGCAAAACCUUCUACCUCAUGGCUUAGAAUGGAAAGAAAGAAAGGAGAGGGGCUGGGGUCUCGCUGUCCCCCUUGGGGGCAUGCCCCUAGGGACCUCUUUCUAGGUCCCACCUCUUCAGGGUUCCAUUGCCUCUCAAAAGCACAUGCUGAGAGCCAUGGCAUUUUUGGUUGAAAGCCAUUGAGAUGAUAUGAUUAUGUUAAGAUCUGCAUUCAAAUGGAUAUUAGACCCCUGCUGUCCGCCUCCACCUGCUACUUUGGAGCUCUAGCGGGACUCCCGGGACUCCCGGAGAGUUCCCAUUGGUUGGGGAAGUGCGGUAGGAGGGAUUGCCGGAGGAGGGAUUUGUCUGUUGGUGUAGUGUGGCCCAGGAGAACCGCCGUGUGUGUGGUUCGGCAUAUUUCCCUGGAGAGUGCGUGGCAUUGAUGGGAGUUUCAGAAAUAAAGUUUGUUCC
Molecule: long non-coding RNA, 3221 nt
Filed under: Marmota monax (woodchuck)
Lineage: Eukaryota; Metazoa; Chordata; Mammalia; Rodentia; Sciuridae
Source: RNAcentral